RNAcentral lists this transfer RNA (72 nucleotides) under Marmota marmota marmota (Alpine marmot). It matches the Rfam family "tRNA". From Rfam's summary of the family: Transfer RNA (tRNA) molecules are approximately 80 nucleotides in length. Lineage: Eukaryota; Metazoa; Chordata; Mammalia; Rodentia; Sciuridae. The record is from Rfam by way of RNAcentral. RNAcentral also lists the same sequence under 1 other name.
GGGGAUGUGGCUCAGUGGCAGAGUGCUUGCCUGGCAUAUAAGAGGGCCUGAGUUCAAUCUUUAGCAUCACAA